ACGGUGGACGACGUGAGAAGACGCUUGGC
RNAcentral lists this non-coding RNA (29 nucleotides) under Homo sapiens (human). Lineage: Eukaryota; Metazoa; Chordata; Mammalia; Primates; Hominidae. The record is from RNAcentral.